Molecule: ribosomal RNA, 687 nt
Filed under: Tridentiger barbatus (Shokihaze gobi)
Lineage: Eukaryota; Metazoa; Chordata; Actinopteri; Gobiiformes; Gobiidae
Description: partial 12S rRNA
Rfam family: Bacterial small subunit ribosomal RNA
Source: RNAcentral
AGAGGCUCAAGUUGACAAACACCGGCAAAAAACGUGGCCUAUAAAGUAUUACACUAAAGCUAAACUUCUUCAAGGCUGUUAUACGCAUUCGAAGAAAAGAGAAUCUUCCACGAAAGUGGCUUUAAAUAAUAUCACCCACGAAAGCUAGGAAACAAACUGGGAUUAGAUACCCCACUAUGCCUAGCCCUAAACACAAGUGAAUGUCCUCACCUUUGCUUGCCAGGGUAUUACGAGCUCCAGCUUAAAAUUCAAGGGACUUGGCGGUGCUUUAGAUCCACCUAGAGGAGCCUGUUCUGUAACCGAUAACCCCCGCUUAACCUCACCCUCUUUUGUCACUCCCGCCUAUAUACCGCCGUCGUCAGCUUACCCCACAAGGGAUCAAUAGUGAGCUUAACUGGCACAGCCCAGAACGCCAGGUCCAGGUGUAGCGUAUGAGAGGGGAAGAAAUGGGCUACAUUCACUGUACCAGUGAAAACGAAUAAUACUUUGAAACAAGUACUUAAAGGAGGAUUUAGCAGUAAGAAAGGAGCAGAGUGCCAUUCUGAAACUGGCCCUGAAGCGCGCACAUACCGCCCGUCACUCUCUCCAGUUGGAUGGUGUCUAAUUUAAGAUAAACACAAAACUUUAAACAAAGGAGAGGAAAGUCGUAACAUGGUAAGUGUACCGGAAGGUGCACUUGGAAAAAUC